GACGAACGCUGGCGGCGUGCUUAACACAUGCAAGUCGAACGGAAAGGCCCUGCUUUUGUGGGGUGCUCGAGUGGCGAACGGGUGAGUAACACGUGAGUAACCUGCCCUUGACUUUGGGAUAACUUCAGGAAACUGGGGCUAAUACCGGAUAGGAGCUCCUGCUGCAUGGUGGGGGUUGGAAAGUUUCGGCGGUUGGGGAUGGACUCGCGGCUUAUCAGCUUGUUGGUGGGGUAGUGGCUUACCAAGGCUUUGACGGGUAGCCGGCCUGAGAGGGUGACCGGCCACAUUGGGACUGAGAUACGGCCCAGACUCCUACGGGAGGCAGCAGUGGUGAAUAUUGAACAAUGGGCGGAAGCCUGAUGCAGCAACGCCGCGUGCGGGAUGACGGCCUUCGGGUUGUAAACCGCUUUCGCCUGUGACGAAGCGUGAGUGACGGUAAUGGGUAAAGAAGCACCGGCUAACUACGUG
Molecule: ribosomal RNA, 468 nt
Filed under: uncultured bacterium
Lineage: Bacteria
Description: partial 16S ribosomal RNA
Rfam family: Bacterial small subunit ribosomal RNA
Source: RNAcentral